UACGGAAGGCAGCAGUGGGGAAUAUUGCACAAUGGGCGAAAGCCUGAUGCAGCUAUGCCGCGUGUAUGAAGAAGGCCUUAGGGUUGUAAAGUACUUUCAUCGGGGAGGAAAAAACAAAACUAAUAAUUUUAUUUCUUGACGUUACCCGAAAAAGAAGCACCGGCUAACUCCGUGCCAGCAGCCGCGGUAAUACGGAGGGUGCUAGCGUUAAUCAGAAUUACUGGGCGUAAAGAGCACGUAGGUGGUUUUUUUAAGUCAGAUGUGAAAUCCCUGGGCUUAACCUAGGAACUGCAUUUGAAACUGAAAUACUAGAGUAUCGUAGAGGGAGGUAGAAUUCUAGGUGUAGCGGUGAAAUGCGUAGAUAUCUGGAGGAAUACCUGUGGCGAAAGCGGCCUCCUAAACGAAUACUGACACUGAGGUGCGAAAGCGUGGGGAGCGAAACAGGGAUUAGAUACC
This 456-nucleotide ribosomal RNA is filed under the name uncultured bacterium. RNAcentral's name for it is "bacterial SSU rRNA". It matches the Rfam family "Bacterial small subunit ribosomal RNA", at positions 340 to 786 of the family's 1533-position model. The record is from RNAcentral.